AUGGGGGGAACAUCCUCCAAGGCUAAAUACUCCUGACUGACCGAUAGUGAACCAGUACCGUGAGGGAAAGGCGAAAAGAACCCCUGUGAGGGGAGUGAAAUAGAACCUGAAACCGUGUGCGUACAAGCAGUAGGAGCAGACUUGUUCUGUGACUGCGUACCUUUUGUAUAAUGGGUCAGCGACUUAAUUUAUGUAGCGAGCUUAACCGAAUAGGGGAGGCGAAGGGAAACCGAGUCUUAAUAGGGCGACUAGUUGCAUGGAUUAGACCCGAAACCUGGCGAUCUAUCCAUGGCCAGGGUGAAGGUGGGGUAACACCUACUGGAGGCCCGAACCCACGUAUGUUGAAAAAUGCGGGGAUGAGCUGUGGAUCGGAGUGAAAGGCUAAUCAAGCCAGGAGAUAGCUGGUUCUCCUCGAAAGCUAUUUAGGUAGCGCCUCGUGUCUCACUCUUGGGGGUAGAGCACUGUUUCGGCUAGGGGGUCAUCCCGACUUACCAACCCGAUGCAAACUCCGAAUACCAAGAAGUGCAAUCACGGGAGACACACGGCGGGUGAUAACGUCCGUCGUGAAAAGGGAAACAACCCAGACCAUCAGCUAAGGUCCCAAAAU
This 607-nucleotide ribosomal RNA is filed under the name Chaetoceros neogracilis. RNAcentral's name for it is "partial Bacterial large subunit ribosomal RNA". It matches the Rfam family "Bacterial large subunit ribosomal RNA", at positions 444 to 1053 of the family's 2925-position model. The record is from RNAcentral. Lineage: Eukaryota; Bacillariophyta; Thalassiosirophyceae; Chaetocerotales; Chaetocerotaceae.